CUAAUAAUCCGCCAUCCUGUAAAGGACGUCGCUGGUUCGAAUCCAGCCAGAUGCA
RNAcentral lists this transfer RNA (55 nucleotides) under Gracilariopsis lemaneiformis. RNAcentral's name for it is "tRNA-Met". The record is from RNAcentral. RNAcentral also lists the same sequence under 1 other name. Lineage: Eukaryota; Rhodophyta; Florideophyceae; Gracilariales; Gracilariaceae.